UACGUAGGGGGCUAGCGUUGUCCGGAAUCACUGGGCGUAAAGCGCACGUAGGCGGCUUUCUAAGUCAGGGGUGAAAUCCUGGAGCUCAACUCCAGAACUGCCUUUGAUACUGGGAAGCUCGAGUCCGGGAGAGGUGAGUGGAACUCCGAGUGUAGAGGUGAAAUUCGUAGAUAUUCGGAAGAACACCAGUGGCGAAGGCGGCUUACUGGACACAUAUUGACGCUGAGGUGCGAAAGCGUGGGGAGCAAACAGG
Molecule: ribosomal RNA, 253 nt
Filed under: uncultured bacterium
Lineage: Bacteria
Description: partial 16S ribosomal RNA
Rfam family: Bacterial small subunit ribosomal RNA
Source: RNAcentral